UACGAAGGGGGCUAGCGUUGCCCGGAAUUACUGGGCGUAAAGGGCGCGUAGGCGGACAGUUUAGUCAGAGGUAAAAGCCCAGGGCUCAACCUUGGAACUGCCUUUGAUACUGACUGUCUUGAGUUCGGGAGAGGUGAGUGGAAUGCCGAGUGUAGAGGUGAAAUUCGUAGAUAUUCGGCGGAACACCAGUGGCGAAGGCGACUCACUGGCCCGAUACUGACGCUGAGGCGCGAAAGCGUGGGGAGCAAACAGG
This 253-nucleotide ribosomal RNA is filed under the name uncultured bacterium. Its description in RNAcentral is "partial 16S ribosomal RNA". It matches the Rfam family "Bacterial small subunit ribosomal RNA", at positions 524 to 776 of the family's 1533-position model. The record is from RNAcentral.